AGAAUUGAAGAAGCAGAGGAGAUCUUUGACCAGAUGGAGCUCCAAGGAGUUUCUAGAAAUUCAGUGACCUACAAUACCCUUAUAGAUGGCCUUUGUAAGAGCAGGAGGGUGGAGGAUGCUGCUCAACUGAUGGACCAGAUGAUAAUGGAGGGAUUGAAGCCUGACAAAUUCACUUACAAUUCCAUGCUUACCUACUUCUGCAGGGCAGGGGAUAUAAAGAAAGCAGCAGACAUUGUGCAGACCAUGACUUCCAAUGGUUGUGAACCAGAUAUUGUCACAUAUGGGACCCUUAUUGGGGGAUUGUGCAAGGCUGGAAGGCUGGUCGACUUGAAGUAGCAAAUAAGCUCCUCAGAUCCAUUCAAAUGAAAGGCAUGGUUCUGACUCCUCAUGCUUACAACCCUGUAAUUCAAGCACUAUUUAAACGGAAAAGAACAAAGGAAGCCAUGAGACUUUUCAGAGAAAUGGAGGAAAAGGGUGGUCGUCCAGAUGCUCUCACAUACAAGAUCGUUUUCCGUGGACUGUGUAACUCUGGAGGACCAAUCGGAGAAGCGGUUGAUUUUGUGAUUGAGAUGACGGGAAAAGGAUUUUUACCAGAAUUCUCUUCAUUCUAUAUGUUGGCUGAGGGACUUUGUUCUUUAUCUAUGGAGGAGACUUUGAUUAGUCUUGUUGACAUAGUCAUGGAGAAAGCAGACAUCUCAGAAAAUGAAACAACCAUGAUAAGGGGAUUUCUCAAAAUUCGCAAGUUCCAAGAUGCA
RNAcentral lists this unclassified non-coding RNA (755 nucleotides) under Hevea brasiliensis (rubber tree). Lineage: Eukaryota; Viridiplantae; Streptophyta; Magnoliopsida; Malpighiales; Euphorbiaceae. The record is from RNAcentral.